GAACGCAAAUUGCACUUUCUGGUAUUCCGGAAAGUAUGCCUGUUUGAGGGUCAGUUAAAUAAAAAUCGGCUUUGUUGCUGCCUUUCGUGGUGACGCGUCGGAAUUGGGUCAUCUUACCUUCGGCUAAGUGACUUAAAAUUUUGUAUGAUUUUCGAACGUAUUUAAAUUGCUUACGUACGUUUGAGAUAUCGAAUAUAUUAGGUUCGGUCAUCUUCAUGACUCGCGCCUAUAAUUUUUCAUUAAAUGACCUCAAAUCAGGUAAGAAUACCCGCUGAACUUAAG
RNAcentral lists this unclassified non-coding RNA (282 nucleotides) under uncultured Glomeraceae. Its description in RNAcentral is "sequence contains 5.8S rRNA gene". The stretch from base 1 to 53 matches the Rfam family "5.8S ribosomal RNA", at positions 102 to 154 of the family's 154-position model. Lineage: Eukaryota; Fungi; Glomeromycota; Glomeromycetes; Glomerales; Glomeraceae. The record is from RNAcentral.